This 492-nucleotide ribosomal RNA is filed under the name uncultured bacterium. RNAcentral describes it as "partial 16S ribosomal RNA". It matches the Rfam family "Bacterial small subunit ribosomal RNA", at positions 29 to 507 of the family's 1533-position model. The record is from RNAcentral.
AGUGAACGCUGGCGGUAGGCCUAACACAUGCAAGUCGAACGGCAGCACAGUAAGAGCUUGCUCUUACGGGUGGCGAGUGGCGGAAGGGUGAGGAAUACAUCGGGAUCUACUUUUUCGUGUGUGAUAACGUAGGGGAACUUACGCUAAUACAGCAUACGACCUACGGGUGAGAGCAGGGGAACUUCGGACCUUGCGCGAUUGAAUGAGCCGAUGUCGGAUUAGCUAGUUGGCGGGGUAAAGGCCAACCCAGGCGACGAUCCGUAGCUGGUGUGGGUGGCGGGUCGGCCACAUGGGAGCGUGGACACGGACCAGACUCCUACGGGAGGCAGCAGUGUGGAAUGUUGGGCAAUGGGCGGAAGCCUGACCCAGCCAGACCGCGUGGGUGAAGAAGGCCUUCGGGUUGUAAAGCCCUUUUGUGGGGAAAGAAAAGCAGCAGGUUAAUACCCCGCUGUUCUGACGGUACCCAAAGAAUAAGCACCGGCUAACUUCGUG